GAAGUAAUGCUACAGUGUUUUGAUGUCCCAGAUAAUUGAUCAGAAGAUCCUUUUCAGCAAUGACUCAACUGCAGAUUUUUGUGGAGUGCUAACAUUCCCUGAUACUAUUUAUUCAAGAAUUGCAUUCAAUUCAGAGUAACAAUAUGAGGUCCUUUCGCCUUUUACAUCAUUGAAACUCAUGCGUUAUCUCAGAAUAAACUAAAGAGAAACUCAAAUAAAUCAUGAAAACCUAGUCCUGUUAAAUAACAACAUUGCACGUUGACUGCUUAUGAGAUUGGGAGUCGAGUCGGAGUGGUGCCUGC
Molecule: long non-coding RNA, 302 nt
Organism: Myotis myotis
Lineage: Eukaryota; Metazoa; Chordata; Mammalia; Chiroptera; Vespertilionidae
Exons: 3
Source: RefSeq, a predicted model, not a curated record